RNAcentral lists this ribosomal RNA (508 nucleotides) under Pseudomonas sp. RNAcentral's name for it is "bacterial SSU rRNA". It matches the Rfam family "Bacterial small subunit ribosomal RNA", at positions 54 to 558 of the family's 1533-position model. The record is from RNAcentral. Lineage: Bacteria; Pseudomonadati; Pseudomonadota; Gammaproteobacteria; Pseudomonadales; Pseudomonadaceae.
CNUGCAGUCGAGCGGAUGACAGGAGCUUGCUCCUGAAUUCAGCGGCGGACGGGUGAGUAAUGCCUAGGAAUCUGCCUGGUAGUGGGGGACAACGUUUCGAAAGGAACGCUAAUACCGCAUACGUCCUACGGGAGAAAGCAGGGGACCUUCGGGCCUUGCGCUAUCAGAUGAGCCUAGGUCGGAUUAGCUAGUUGGUGAGGUAAUGGCUCACCAAGGCGACGAUCCGUAACUGGUCUGAGAGGAUGAUCAGUCACACUGGAACUGAGACACGGUCCAGACUCCUACGGGAGGCAGCAGUGGGGAAUAUUGGACAAUGGGCGAAAGCCUGAUCCAGCCAUGCCGCGUGUGUGAAGAAGGUCUUCGGAUUGUAAAGCACUUUAAGUUGGGAGGAAGGGCAUUAACCUAAUACGUUAGUGUUUUGACGUUACCGACAGAAUAAGCACCGGCUAACUNUGUGCCAGCAGCCGCGGUAAUACAGAGGGUGCAAGCGUUAAUCGGAAUUACUGGU